GCCGAAGUGGCGGAACAGGCAGACGCACGGGACUUAAAAUCCCGCGGGGCAUUAAACCCCGUACCGGUUCGAUUCCGGUCUUCGGCACCA
This 90-nucleotide transfer RNA is filed under the name Peptococcaceae bacterium. RNAcentral's name for it is "tRNA-Leu". It matches the Rfam family "tRNA". From Rfam's summary of the family: Transfer RNA (tRNA) molecules are approximately 80 nucleotides in length. Their secondary structure includes four short double-helical elements and three loops (D, anti-codon, and T loops). Lineage: Bacteria; Bacillati; Bacillota; Clostridia; Eubacteriales; Peptococcaceae. The record is from RNAcentral.